This 477-nucleotide ribosomal RNA is filed under the name uncultured bacterium. RNAcentral describes it as "bacterial SSU rRNA". It matches the Rfam family "Bacterial small subunit ribosomal RNA", at positions 30 to 504 of the family's 1533-position model. The record is from RNAcentral.
UGAACGCUAGCGGCAGGCCUAACACAUGCAAGUCGAACGGUAACAGAUCCCUCGGGAUGCUGACGAGUGGCGCACGGGUGCGUAACACGUAUGCAAUCUACCUCUAACUGGAGAAUAGCCCAGGGAAACUUGGAUUAAUACUCCAUAAUAUUAUGUUAUCGCAUGAUGAUAUAAUUAAAGCUUCAGCGGUUAGAGAUGAGCAUGCGCCCUAUUAGCUAGUUGGUGAGGUAAUGGCUCACCAAGGCAACGAUAGGUAGGGGGUCUGAGAGGAUUAUCCCCCACACUGGUACUGAGACACGGACCAGACUCCUACGGGAGGCAGCAGUGAGGAAUAUUGGGCAAUGGACGAAAGUCUGACCCAGCCAUGCCGCGUGCAGGAUGACUGCCCUAUGGGUUGUAAACUGCUUUUAUAUAGGAAGAAACUUUUCUACGUGUAGAAAACUGACGGUACUAUUUGAAUAAGGACCGGCUAACUCC